GUAGGGAAUAUUGCGCAAUGGGGGAAACCCUGACGCAGCGACGCCGCGUGAGUGAUGAAGGCCUUCGGGUCGUAAAGCUCUGUUGCAGGGGAAUAAAAAAAUGAAGGUACCCUGUGAGGAAGGAUCGGCUAACUUCGUGCCAGCAGCCGCGGUAAGACGAGGGAUCCUAGCGUUGCUCGGAAUCAUUGGGCGUAAAGAGGGCGGAGGUGGCUUGGUAAGUCAGGUGUGAAAGCCCAGGGCUCAACCCUGGAAGUGCAUUUGAUACUGCUGAGCUUGAGUGUCGGAGAGGUUACCGGAAUACCUGGUGUAGUGGUGAAAUACGUAGAUAUCAGGUGGAACACCGGAGGCGAAGGCGGGUAACUGGACGAACACUGACACUGAGGCCCGAAAGCGUGGGGAUCAAACAGGAUUAGAAACCCUGGUAGUCC
Molecule: ribosomal RNA, 428 nt
Filed under: uncultured bacterium
Lineage: Bacteria
Description: partial 16S ribosomal RNA
Rfam family: Bacterial small subunit ribosomal RNA
Source: RNAcentral